AGUGAACGCUGGCGGUAGGCCUAACACAUGCAAGUCGAACGGCAGCACAGUAAGAGCUUGCUCUUACGGGUGGCGAGUGGCGGACGGGUGAGGAAUACAUCGGAAUCUACUUUUUCGUGGGGGAUAACGUAGGGAAACUUACGCUAAUACCGCAUACGACCUACGGGUGAAAGUAGGGGAUCUUCGGACCUUGCGCGAUUGAAUGAGCCGAUGUCGGAUUAGCUAGUUGGCGGGGUAAAGGCCCACCAAGGCGACGAUCCGUAGCCGGUCUGAGAGGAUGAUCAGCCACACUGGAACUGAGACACGGUCCAGACUCCUACGGGAGGCAGCAGUGGGGAAUAUUGGACAAUGGGCGCAAGCCUGAUCCAGCCAUACCGCGUGGGUGAAGAAGGCCUUCGGGUUGUAAAGCCCUUUUGUUGGGAAAGAAAAGCAGCAGGUUAAUACCCCGCUGUUCUGACGGUACCCAAAGAAUAAGCACCGGCUAACUUCGUG
RNAcentral lists this ribosomal RNA (492 nucleotides) under uncultured bacterium. Its description in RNAcentral is "partial 16S ribosomal RNA". It matches the Rfam family "Bacterial small subunit ribosomal RNA", at positions 29 to 507 of the family's 1533-position model. The record is from RNAcentral.